RNAcentral lists this long non-coding RNA (2065 nucleotides) under Capsicum annuum. RNAcentral describes it as "long non-coding RNA (CANN_LNC019048)". The record is from RNAcentral. Lineage: Eukaryota; Viridiplantae; Streptophyta; Magnoliopsida; Solanales; Solanaceae.
CACUGAACUAAAAACAAUAGUCUAACUAGGCCAGGACAAGGUCCCUGGCUGGACCAUAACAACCAUAAAAAAAGACACAUGGGAUAGAUGCCUUCCGAUAUAAAGGAGUCUCACCAAUCUCUGAAAGGCUGGAUCACAAUCUACAUGUUUGUAGGAUCACGGGACUGGGCCUCAAAACCUGAAAUAUAGGGGUCAAUACUCGAAAGUAUAGGUAUGUAGAACAAUCGAAAAGAUAACAUAUAUUUUUAUACAACAUAAGUGAGCAUUUCAUAAAGAAAUUUAGAAUAAGAUAAAUUAAAACACAUGUCAUAAUUUGGUUAACCUCAAAACACUUUCUUAAAAUAAUCUCUCGACCCUUUAUUUUACUUCUGAACUAGAUGGUACACCCUACAUUUCUACAAUCCCAUGAGCUAUAUGGAUUCCACCCUUGACUCAGUUGACUCAGUGGCCAAGCCCCCAAAUCCAAGUUUACCGCAAGGAUUAAGGUCCUAAAUAUUAUUCUAGUAUACUAGUGCCUCAGGGGCAAGUAUAUAUUGCCCAUAGCUAAUCAUGUCGCCCUUACACUCAAUGUCUUCUUUGGAUAACCAUCUAACUCUCUUUAAGCCUAUUUUUAGUCCAUUAAAAUCAUGCUUCAUGCUAAAAAACAUUUAGUGCUUAUUCCGUUAAGGGCAUAUCAUCACAAAGUAUCGUCCUACCCAAACUUGCAAGUCAUUCAUAUGUUAUCAUCUCAUAUCCAUAGCCCUUCUUAUUCAAAAUCACACUAAUGACCAUCAAAAAAGAUUUAUCAAAUUACAUGAGAGUUCUUAUUUCAAAAGGAGAUGAAAACUUAAGCAAAAUAAUCUCCUUUCAAGACUUUAAUAUAGGGUGGUCAUCUCUUUCAUCAAUCACAUGCAAAUUCUUUAUUAGGAGACAUGAGAAUUUUUAUAUCAAGGAAAACCCCUCUCAUUCAUUCAUAAAUCAAUAACAACCCAUAGUCGCUAGCAAAAUAUUUAAACUCAAACUUUUAACCAUCCAUGUAAACAAUCUACAACAUUAUUAAAACAAUGGGUUUCAUAACAAGAGAGGGAAUUACGUAAAUCAUGCUCUCAUAUAACUUCUCAAACUAAUAACACAUGCACGCAUGAAAACAAUUUAAGUUUAGGGAAAAACCCUCAUAGUUUAUACAAAAUUUUAUCAUAAAACGUGGUUUGAAAUGCAUGCUCUUUAAUAAUUUCAAAACCCAACUCAUGUACGAAAUUAUAUACCUUAAAAUCUUAUUUAACGAUAAAUUCAUGCCCAUGGAAUUUAUGAUAGUCCCACAUACCUUUGAAUUGAUUAAAAUGUUAAGAAAAUUGACCCUUGAAGCUUAAUUUCUAGAUGUUUUCUCUUCUUGAGCUUAAGGAAGAUGAAUUAGGGAUUUUCUAGAUGUUAAUAUGUGUUUAAGGACCUUAAUUUUCCCUAUAAGUGAUUUGGGAUGGUUAGGGGGUGUGAAAAUACCUUAAUGCCCCUAAAAUAACACCAAACAGAGCACUUACAUUGCUAUGCUUUUUCCAUGUGGCACACAACAAUUUCACAGGCCAAGUUGUGCGACGCAUGACCAUUGCACAACCCCAAGUAGGCGACGCAAGCCCAUUGCACACCCUUUCCACUGGCCUUUUGUGUUUGCCAUACGACACACGAAUUUUGCAAAGGGCCUAUUGUGAGAUGCAUACUCAUUUUUAGGCCCUUAAACACCCCCAACUCAACCCAUAAUAUCUAGACAUGGUCUACCAUCAAAAUGGGGGCCCUAAAGGUUAUUUUAAAUGCAUUAUUAGAGCAUUACAACUACGAGGUGUUACAUUAUCCCCCUGGGAUCAUUCGUCCCCGAAUGAUGACUCGAGAUACAAUAUGCAUGAUUUCAUAUAUUGCAUGGAAGGAAAGAAGUAGGUAUAAGAUCAAUACCUUCUAUGUCAUCAACCGCAGAUUCAAAGAGAGUUGGAAAUCUUGCGCGCAUGUCAUUCUCCGACUCCCAGUAGCUUUAUCAAAUUUAUGGUUCCUUCAUAAUACUUUAAUCAAAACUAUUUCCUUACUCAAAUUUCAAACCUGG